AGUGAACGCUGGCGGUAGGCCUAACACAUGCAAGUCGAACGGCAGCACAGUAAGAGCUUGCUCUUACGGGUGGCGAGUGGCGGACGGGUGAGGAAUACAUCGGAAUCUACUUUUUCGUGGGGGAUAACGUAGGGAAACUUACGCUAAUACCGCAUACGACCUACGGGUGAAAGCAGGGGAUCUUCUGACCUUGCGCGAUUGAAUGAGCCGAUGUCGGAUUAGCUAGUUGGCGGGGUAAAGGCCCACCAAGGCGACGAUCCGUAGCUGGUCUGAGAGGAUGAUCAGCCACACUGGAACUGAGACAGGGUCCAGACUCCUACGGGAGGCAGCAGUGGGGAAUAUUGGACAAUGGGCGCAAGCCUGAUCCAGCCAUACCGCGUGGGUGAAGAAGGCCUUCGGGUUGUAAAGCCCUUUUGUUGGGAAAGAAAAGCAGCAGGUUAAUACCCCGCUGUUCUGACGGUACCCAAAGAAUAAGCACCGGCUAACUUCGUG
This 492-nucleotide ribosomal RNA is filed under the name uncultured bacterium. RNAcentral describes it as "partial 16S ribosomal RNA". It matches the Rfam family "Bacterial small subunit ribosomal RNA", at positions 29 to 507 of the family's 1533-position model. The record is from RNAcentral.